RNAcentral lists this transfer RNA (58 nucleotides) under Apaloderma vittatum (bar-tailed trogon). It matches the Rfam family "tRNA", at positions 8 to 63 of the family's 71-position model. Rfam says of the family: Transfer RNA (tRNA) molecules are approximately 80 nucleotides in length. Lineage: Eukaryota; Metazoa; Chordata; Aves; Trogoniformes; Trogonidae. The record is from Rfam by way of RNAcentral.
UAGCUCAGUCAGUUGAGCGUAGCGCUAACAAUGCUAAGGUCGCUGGUUCGAUUCCCGU